UAGUGGCGAACGGGUGAGUAACACGUGAGUAACCUGCCCUCCACUUCGGGAUAACCUCGGGAAAUCGUGGCUAAUACCGGAUAUGAGCACUCAUCGCAUGGUGGGUGUUGGAAAGAUUUAUCGGUGGGGGAUGGACUCGCGGCCUAUCAGUUUGUUGGUGAGGUGAUGGCUCACCAAGACGAUGACGGGUAGCCGGCCUGAGAGGGCGACCGGCCACACUGGGACUGAGACACGGCCCAGACUCCUACGGGAGGCAGCAGUGGGGAAUAUUGCACAAUGGGCGAAAGCCUGAUGCAGCGACGCCGCGUGGGGGAUGACGGCCUUCGGGUUGUAAACCCCUUUCAGUAGGGAAGAAGCGAGAGUGACGGUACCUGCAGAAGAAGCGCCGGCUAACUACGUGCCAGCAGCCGCGGUAAUACGUAGGGCGCAAGCGUUGUCCGGAAUUAUUGGGCGUAAAGAGCUUGUAGGUGGCUUGUCGCGUCUGCCGUGAAAACCCGAGGCUCAACCUCGGGCGUGCGGUGGGUA
This 525-nucleotide ribosomal RNA is filed under the name uncultured Brachybacterium sp. RNAcentral's name for it is "bacterial SSU rRNA". It matches the Rfam family "Bacterial small subunit ribosomal RNA", at positions 93 to 632 of the family's 1533-position model. Lineage: Bacteria; Bacillati; Actinomycetota; Actinomycetes; Micrococcales; Dermabacteraceae. The record is from RNAcentral.